This 1023-nucleotide ribosomal RNA is filed under the name Rhagoletis completa. RNAcentral's name for it is "partial 16S ribosomal RNA". The record is from RNAcentral. Lineage: Eukaryota; Metazoa; Arthropoda; Insecta; Diptera; Tephritidae.
UUGAAAAAUAAUUAUUUAAAAAGAAAAUUUUAUUUAUUGUACCUUGUGUAUCAGGGUUUAUCAAAUAAUUAAUAAUUAUUUUAUUAAUCUCGAUUUUAUAAGAGUUAAUUAUUUAUUAAAGUUAAUGUAUCAAAAUUAUUUUAAAUAGAUAAUUAGAAAUGAAAUGUUAUUCGUUUAUAAAGGUAUCUAGUUUUUUUAGAAAUAAAUUUAAUUUACAAAUUUUUAAUUUUUUAUUUAUUUAUUUAAUUAAAAAAAUUAUUAAUUUGAAUAUUUUAAGGGAUAAGCUUUAAAAUAAAUUAUUAAAAAUUAAUAAAUUAAAUAUAAAAUGUAUGAAUAGAAUUUUCAAUCAUUUAUGAGUUUGUUAUAAAUUAUUUUAUAACUUAUAUUAUUUAUUAUAAUUUUAAAUUUUUAUAAAAAUUUUUUCAUAAAUUUUUUAUGAAAAUAAAUAAUGAUAAAAUUAGUAUAUUAAUAUUGUACAUAUAAUUUUAUAUGACAAGUUUAUAUAAAGAACUCGGCAAAUUUAUAUACUCGCCCUGUUUAACAAAAACAUGUCUUUUUGAGUUAUUUUUAAAGUCUGACCUGCCCACUGAAUAAAUUUAAAUGGCCGCAGUAUUUUAACUGUGCAAAGGUAGCAUAAUCAUUAGUUUUUUAAUUGAAGGCUGGUAUGAAUGGUUGGACGAAGUAUAAACUGUUUCAUGUAAAUUUAUUAUAGAAUUUUAUAUUUUAGUUAAAAAGCUAAAAUUUAAUUAAAAGACGAGAAGACCCUAUAAAUCUUUAUAUUUAUUAUUAUUUUAAUUUUUUAGAUAUAUUUUAUUUUAAUAAUAUUAAAUAUUUUGUUGGGGUGAUGUUAAAAUUUAAUAAACUUUUAAUUAUUAAAAUCAUUAAUUUAUGAUUUAUUGAUCCGUUAAUAACGAUUAUAAGAUUAAGUUACUUUAGGGAUAACAGCGUAAUUUUUUUGGAGAGUUCUUAUCGAUAAAAAAGUUUGCGACCUCGAUGUUGGAUUAAGAUAUAUUUUUAGGUGUA